AUUGAACGCUGGCGGCAUGCCUUACACAUGCAAGUCGAACGGUAACGGGCCUGCGGGUGCCGACGAGUGGCGAACGGGUGAGUAAUACAUCGGAACGUGCCCGAUCGUGGGGGAUAACGAGGCGAAAGCUUUGCUAAUACCGCAUACGAUCUACGGAUGAAAGCAGGGGACCGCAAGGCCUUGCGCGGACGGAGCGGCCGAUGGCAGAUUAGGUAGUUGGUGGGAUAAAAGCUUACCAAGCCGACGAUCUGUAGCUGGUCUGAGAGGAUGAUCAGCCACACUGGGACUGAGACACGGCCCAGACUCCUACGGGAGGCAGCAGUGGGGAAUUUUGGACAAUGGGCGCAAGCCUGAUCCAGCCAUGCCGCGUGCAGGAUGAAGGCCUUCGGGUUGUAAACUGCUUUUGUACGGAACGAAAAGCCUUCUUUUAAUACAGGAGGGUCAUGACGGUACCGUAAGAAUAAGCACCGGCUAACUACGUG
RNAcentral lists this ribosomal RNA (482 nucleotides) under uncultured bacterium. RNAcentral's name for it is "partial 16S ribosomal RNA". It matches the Rfam family "Bacterial small subunit ribosomal RNA", at positions 30 to 507 of the family's 1533-position model. The record is from RNAcentral.